CCAAACCCUGGGCUCUACCGAAUGCUGCCUGGAAGAAAAGAAGCCAGGGCUUACUUAUCCACAAGAAACUGGCAAAUAAUUAUUCUAAGAUGGGAAGAUUCACCUUAUUGCUCAUUAGCUAACACAAGGGAUGGAGUCACUGGAUUGUGUGAGAAUUGGAACUUUACAUUAAGACCCAUGAUCUGAAGCUUCUUCUUUGCAAAAAUUCCCGAACCAAGAAGCAACAUUGAAACUUUGUCACCUGGAUGUGUGUAAGGACUUGGGGUAAGUACAACUACAGGAUGAACCAAUCAUCACCCUGUAAUCUUCUUUAGCACUCCACAUCAAUAGGAGCAAAUAAUAAUUUGUGCAACUUUUCUCUGAUAGCACCUAACACCACUGUAAUUUGAUAAAUACUUUGUGUGGCCUGGCAUGCUGCAGUCCAAGGGUCACAAAGAGUCGGACAUGAUCGAGCGACUGAACUGAACUGAACUGUGUAAUUUCUUACCCAAUAAGUCUCCUCCAGAAAACUAGCGUUGUGAUCACAGAGACUUGGACUUGUUUUGCUCACUCGCAUCCCUAGCACCUGGCACGGAGCCUGGCACACAGUGCUCAGGGAAGUCUCACUCAUUAAUACAGGAGAAUGGGAAUUAUGGUUGCACAGGAUGCUAGUUUCCUGCCCCCUAAGAAAUUUCUCUUUCAGAAUCAGUUUGUGAAUAGAUUGCUCACACCCACCAUGGGAAUUCUGAGUUCCUUCACCUGGGUUCAAAGAGGAUUAAGUAACCAUAAGAUGCACAAGGAAACUCAGGAAGUUGCAGAUAUCCUGCCAUGUUUAAGUCUCAAGUCAACAGUCAACAGACACAGGCUGUCUAUACUAGUUGAGGAGAAGCGUGAUGGACAGCUCUACAAGACCCCCAUUCUGCUUCGCUGAUAACUACCACCCUAGACACUGCAGGCAAGUAUGCACUGAGAUUAAAUGCCCUGCUUCUGACAGAGAAGAAUUAUCAGAAGCCUGUAUUCUGAAGGAUAUUGACUGGGACUUGAGAAAAUAGCGGAGGAAGGGACAUACAGGAGAACAGGUAAAAGGAGAGAAAAAUCUUAAGGGAGAAAGAAAAGUGAGUCCACCAGUGUUUAACCAAUCAAUCAAGGUAUAUUUUCAUCCUGACUUACAAAGUACUCCUUCUUCAAAGAUGAAGCAUCUUUCUUAAAUCCUCACCUAAUAUUUGAGUAAUACAAUGCGGAUGAAAUCAAUUUUUCAUAUUUUAUAGAGCCAAAGAAGCUACAAUGAGUUUGUAAGAAUCCAGAAUGAUUCAAAAUAUCAGAGGUUUUGGAGAUGGGAUGGAUCUUCCAGAAACCUUCCCAUUCAAAUGCUUGACUUUGGAUAACGCUUCAUUUCCCCCAUUUUAUAGAUAACACAAGCUAGUUCUAGGACUGAGAUUCUGUGAGAAAUGUGUGGAGGACCUGAAAAGAGCAUAACCUGGUCCACUAAACACAGUGCUUGGCAAAACUAUGCCCAUGACUCAGAUAAGCUAGGACCUUAUCCAAGUGACCCAGUGAUUCCCAGACUCAUCAGAAUUUAUUUCAAAAACUUAGUAACUGAUUUCUAGAAGCCAGUUUCUGUUCAAAACACUUUAAUCCUCACAACAAGCUGGUGAAGUAAAUACAAUCAGCAUUUUUAUUUUACUAGUGAAAAAAAAAAUACAGAGAGGUCAAGUACAUUUCUUGAAACUGCACAGCUAAGAUGUAGCCAACCAAUUCUUAAAGUUGGCACUCAGAUAAUUCAGACCUCCCCUUUAUGGAAGGAGGCGUUACCAAUACCCCUUUCAUACUCGCAUUGCUCCAAAAGAACAGGCUGGCUUUAGCACUUAUGAGAGGUUAUAUCAGAGACCACUUGUUUAUGUUGAUGGCCUCUUUUUAGAUCCAGAGACUCAAACCCUUCUAAAUUACACUAUGGUCACUGGGCAAUUCCAAUAAGAAAUGUGACUGUGGGGUCUCACCCAGGGCCCAAAAGAAUCUGAGGGACCUCCACUAUAUACUGCUACCUACUCAUUAAGGUUUAGAAAGAUGCGUCCCCAAAAGCUCAACUCCAGCCCACACGGAAGGGCCUUACCCCAUAAUACUCUCGACCUCCACAGCAGCCAAGCUGCCAAGGCAUGACGCCUGGAUUCACCACUCUCAAGUAAAGUCGUGGAAUAAAACAGGAGAAGAUUCCCGAUGUACCUGAGAGCCUCUGGAAGACCGAUACCUAUUCAGGACUACAGGUGAGGGUCAUUCUGAUGAAUAUCCAAAAGGUUAAGCUCCUGGGGAUAAGCUUUCUUGGGAUGGCGCUUGCAUUCAGUGUGGUCUACCUCGUUGCCUCUCUCUUGGUUUGUGUUAGUCAGGGAGAUCCUAUCCUUUUCAUGUCUGUUAUCGGCCCCCAUAAGACCAUACGCAGGACACCCCAAUCUGGCUCAUGUAUCUCUGGUGCUGUCACUCUUAUAUACACUCGUUAAGUCCAGCCACCACAGAAAUCAUGAACACGCUCAAUAAGGCUAGCUGUGGUAUGUCCUAACCCAAUUCUUAAAAAGCUGACUGAUACCAAUAGGUCAGGACUGAGCACCAAAAACUUAUUCGAAACUAAUCAAAUCCUGGACAAGGUCACCACAGCAACCUGGUUCCAGCCAGUCAAGGAUGCGGCCCUACCGUGCAUCUGGCCUAUAAUUCUGUUGGCUCCCUCUUUCCUCAACCUACUUAGUUUACUCCUCAGGUCAGCUUCUGAUACAGCAUAGAUAUCAACCCCUGACCCCUCUGAUGACUUCCUCACGCCACUCCCCCUUGGACAGACAGCAGCUGCCCUUACUGGCCUCUCUCAUUGACAGCUACCAAGUGCUGGACACCCAAGGCACCUCACUGCCCCAACUCAGCAGGAAGUAGCCAGAAUGAAUGACACCCAUUUCUCCAACGAAUUGGGGUCCAUACAACUUGAGGGGGGACUGUCAGGUAGGAAGUUAAACAUGAGCAACUUGAAGGGAGGCCUGGCUGAAAAGGGAUGUAAACUCAUCUCUAAACUCCAUCCCAGACACACCCAGAAGAGCUCACAGAUAUACUACAAAAUAGCCACAGAGACUUUUCAACUCCUGCACAUGGCCCUAGGCACACCGAGGAUACAAAAGGACCACAGGGGCUUCUCCUAGUAACCUCAGGCAGUUAGGAGACCAUUAAGGACUCAUGAAUACCCUACAUCUAACAGAAUUAUGGGAAGACAUAAACAACACAGCCAGCCGUUAGACAGUUUAUAAUUGUCAAUCAGCCUUGAGCGUAUGCCCAUUUGCAUUGAUGGGUGGCGGGUACAAGCCCGAUUUGACCUGGGCUUAAUCAAAAGGAAACGUAAAAAGGGGAAGCCAAGAGGGAUGGACAGAGUGAGGAGGACUCCUCUGGGGGUGCUUGAGUUGAACUGAGCCGUAACUUUUCUGCUGUUCCACAACUUUGGUCCACCACUCCAAAUUUUUGUUGCGACAAGAACCGAGGAAAAGAAAUAAACCAACCUGACAGUUCUAUAAUAGUGUUUGCAUAGUAAUCACUGUUAGUACAGUUAGCAUUCUUUCUUAGUGAGGGCUGGAAGGGUUCUUUCUUAGUGAGAGUUAGGGAUGUGGGACCUCAUGGUCAUCUCUGCUAAAAAGAUGGCUCAUAUCGAGAAUAUUGAGAUCCUUUACACAAUUGGCGAAGGCCACUUCGGCAAAGUGAAGUUUGCCUAGCAUGUUCUCACCAGGGGAGUGCUAGCUGCUAGCUAUUAGGUAAUAAAGAAGACAAAUCAGAGGUUCUCCAGGCUCCAGGAACUGUUUUGAGAGGUUAACAGCAUGAAAAUCUUGAAACACCCGUAUAUUGUGAAACUACUGGAAGUUAUCAAUACAGAGGACACUCUGUUUAUAGUAAUGGAGUACCUCAGUGGGGGAAACAUAUUCACCUACUUGGAGGCCCAAGGCUGCCUGACGGAGGGGGAGGCCCGAGGCGCGUUCCGCCAGCUGGUCUCGGCUCUCCAGCACUGCCACCAGCGGGGCGUGGUUCACCGGGACAUGAAGCUGAGCAGCCUUCUCCUUGAUGCCAACAAUAUCAAGAUUUCAGACUUCAGCCUUAGCAAACACUGGCACCCAAGAAAGAAGCUAGACACAUUCUGCGGCAGCCCCCUGUUCACGUCCCCAGAACUCUUCCUGAGGCUGCCUUGCACAGCCCCAGAGGUGGAUGUGUGGAGCCUCGGCGUCGUCCAUAGUACACCUCGGCGUACACCAUAGUAACUGGAUCCCUCCCCUUCAGGGGACAAGAUUUCUGGGAGCUGCGGUGCAUCCCUAGAGGGCAAUACUAUGUGCCCAAAUAUCUAUGAAAUGAAGUAACACAUUUAAUACAGAGGAUGUUAACGCUCAACCCUACCAACAGAGGGACUUUAGAUGAUGUUUGGCAGCACCCAUGGGUGAACACGGGCCAGGAGGAGCCACUCCCGCCAGUCUGUGAAGAGCACCCUGGGGUGACAGUGGGGAUGAUACUGGGCUGGUGAAGGGACCAGAUCCAGGGCUGGCUUACAAGCAGUGGCAGUGACACGGACGAACCCAAGGUGGGGGCCCGCACCAUCAUUGUGAGGCCAGCCAUUUCCUCCGACCUCAGCAGCCAAGAACAUACGCCUCCCGCCAGCCCUGAAGUGUCCAUGCUUAUUCCCGACUGGCUUUGGGAUACCAUUCAGCAGCAGGAGAACCAGGAGUCAAGGAGAAGAUCAGAGAGCCUGCCACUCCCCCACCCUGCCUGGAAGCGAGGACCGUCACCCCCAGCUCAGCCCCCUGCACUCAAAACACCCAUGAUGACAGCAUCGCCCGAGCCACCGAUCACGCCGGUGACCGCCACGACACGUGCGGGGCCAGGCUCACCUGUGACACCUGCGGCAGGCGUGACAGCAGCCAUGCCCGUGAUACCAGCAUUACGCAGGACACCAGAGACGCCUGCGACACCAGCAGCGCCUGCGACAGCUGCGAUACCAGUGGUGCCAGCUUCACCUGUGACGCCUGCAGCACCUGUGAGACCAGCUUCACCUGUGAUACCAGCCUCAGCCAUGACGCCCUAAGCACCCAGGACAGCACUGGGGCCUGCAGCACAGAAGACGCCCGUGGCACCGUGAUACCUGUGGUGCCAGUGGCUGCAGUGACACCAGGGGCACCCAGGCACAGAUGGCACCUCUGGCACCUGUGAGGCCCAAGGGGCUGGGGCGCCCAUGGCACCACAUCACCCGUGCACCCAUGUCGCCCUCAACACUCACAGAACCCACGGCACGCACGGUAACCACAUCACCUGUGACACGUGCAACACCAAUGGCACCCAUGACAUCAGCGGUGAACUCCCAGAAGGAACCCACUGCUCCCCGAUGUGCCUGAUGCCAGAAGCUCCACCCCUGUUGGGCAGCCCGAGAAUAUGUCCACAGUCACUCCCCCUGGCCUCACCCAGAAAAAGAAGAGGGUGUCUGGGAGAAUCUGGAGAUGUAUAUUUAAACUUCUUUGCUGUGGGCUGCCCAGCAAGAGGGGUAAAAAUAAAGUGAGCCCAGAAACACCCAGUGGAUGACCUGCCAAGCCCCCUGGGACCUGGGCAUGUUCCCACCUGGAUGAGGAGGCUCAAACCCAGCACCUCCACCCCUUCAGGAAGCCUCCUGUCCAAAACCCUGGCCAGCACAGAGAAUGCUCUGGAGGGGCCUGGGCAACCAGAAGAGGCACCACCCUGGCCUGGCUGCCCCUCCUCCCCUGCUGGGUGAAACUUCAGAGACUAGACUGUCUCCUGGGGCAUGUCCCCAUCCCCCACACUUCUGUCUUUCAUGUGGUUGGGGGAGGGGAUAAUUCUUGCCAACUCCUUUCUUGUUUCUUCAUAGUCUUAAUAAACUUUAUGCUCCAGAAAGAUGUAUCACACUCUGUUUUGCAUUCUCUCUGGUUAGAGUAGUGUGUAGUCAUG
Non-coding RNA from Odocoileus virginianus texanus, 5937 nucleotides. NCBI's taxonomy places the organism in Eukaryota, Metazoa, Chordata, Mammalia, Artiodactyla, Cervidae. The record is from RefSeq and is a predicted model, not a curated record.